RNAcentral lists this ribosomal RNA (510 nucleotides) under uncultured Acaulospora. RNAcentral's name for it is "SSU rRNA". It matches the Rfam family "Eukaryotic small subunit ribosomal RNA", at positions 569 to 1078 of the family's 1831-position model. Lineage: Eukaryota; Fungi; Glomeromycota; Glomeromycetes; Diversisporales; Acaulosporaceae. The record is from RNAcentral.
AGCAGCCGCGGUAAUUCCAGCUCCAAUAGCGUAUAUUAAAGUUGUUGCAGUUAAAAAGCUCGUAGUUGAAUUUCGGAAUCUGUCCGUUGGUCGGGCUUCACUGUCCGUACUGGUGUGAUGGGUUUCUACCUUCUGAAUAACCGGCAUGUCAUUAAUUUGGUGCGCCGGGGAAGCAGAACUAUUACCUUGAAAAAAUUAGAGUGCUUAAAGCAGGCUAUCGCCUGAAUAGAUUAGCAUGGAAUAAUAAAAUAGGACGGCAUGGUUCUAUUUUGUUGGUUUCUAGGAUCACCGUAAUGAUUAAUAGGGAUAGUUGGGGGCAUUAGUAUUCAAUUGUCAGAGGUGAAAUUCUUGGAUUUAUUGAAGACUAACUUCUGCGAAAGCAUUUGCCAAGGAUGUUUUCAUUAAUCAAGAACGAAAGUUAGGGGAUCGAAGACGAUCAGAUACCGUCGUAGUCUUAACCAUAAACUAUGCCGACUAGGGAUCGGACGAUGUUAAUUUUUUAAUGACUCG